This is a long non-coding RNA of Ornithorhynchus anatinus (platypus), 446 nucleotides long. RefSeq lists it as uncharacterized. Lineage: Eukaryota; Metazoa; Chordata; Mammalia; Monotremata; Ornithorhynchidae. The transcript is spliced from 3 exons. The record is from RefSeq and is a predicted model, not a curated record.
UGACCUCCCAGAAUGACGUACCUGUCUGGGAAGAACCAUUACAGAAGACUAUAAAAUGCACAUGUCAUCUCUCUGUUCUCGUUCCAGGAAGAACUGCAUCCUCAUUGACAUGCUGCGGAACCCAAGAAUGGGGAGCAUGGCAGGUGCCAGUGAAGGUUAAAGAGGAAUACAGGGAGCCCAAUCUCUUUGGAUAUUGGCCAGGGUCACCACCUGGGAAGGCUGUGUGUCUGGCAACAAGAAUAGCUUUGCUGAUGUUCCAGCUAAAUUCCUAAAGACAGAUGCUACGAGUAGCCUGCAAUUUGACAACUGCAAUCAUAAUGAAAUUCAUUCUUCCUCGUUGGAAAUGGGCUUUUCGUGGGACAGGACGCAGAGGCAUAUGCUCUUAGAAUGCCUGAAUGUUCUCUGAUAGUGCAAGCAGAAAUGAUAACUGUGGUAUUUCUUAAGUA